UUACGGCCAUAACACGUUGAUACUGCCGGUUUCCGUACGAUCUCCGAAGUUAAGCAACGUCGAGCUUGUACAGUAUAUAGAUAUGUGACCGUUCG
Non-coding RNA from Acanthosepion pharaonis, 95 nucleotides. The record is from the annotation of a GenBank genome assembly. NCBI's taxonomy places the organism in Eukaryota, Metazoa, Mollusca, Cephalopoda, Sepiida, Sepiidae.